UACGGGGGGAGCAAGCGUUGUUCGGAUUUACUGGGCGUAAAGGGCGCGUAGGCGGCCAGCGCAAGUCAGUUGUGAAAUCUCCGGGCUUAACUCGGAACGGUCAACUGAUACUGCGCGGCUAGAGUGCAGAAGGGGCAACUGGAAUUCUCGGUGUAGCGGUGAAAUGCGUAGAUAUCGAGAGGAACACCUGCGGCGAAGGCGGGUUGCUGGGCUGACACUGACGCUGAUGCGCGAAAGCGUGGGGAGCGAACAGG
RNAcentral lists this ribosomal RNA (254 nucleotides) under uncultured bacterium. Its description in RNAcentral is "partial 16S ribosomal RNA". It matches the Rfam family "Bacterial small subunit ribosomal RNA", at positions 524 to 776 of the family's 1533-position model. The record is from RNAcentral.